This 467-nucleotide ribosomal RNA is filed under the name uncultured bacterium. RNAcentral's name for it is "partial 16S ribosomal RNA". It matches the Rfam family "Bacterial small subunit ribosomal RNA", at positions 28 to 507 of the family's 1533-position model. The record is from RNAcentral.
GAUGAACGCUGGCGGCGUGCUUAACACAUGCAAGUCGAACGGAAAGGCCCAAGCUUGCUUGGGUACUCGAGUGGCGAACGGGUGAGUAACACGUGGGUGAUCUGCCCUGCACUUCGGGAUAAGCCUGGGAAACUGGGUCUAAUACCGGAUAGGACCACUUCUUGGAUGUUGUGGUGGAAAGUUUUUUCGGUGUGGGAUGAGCUCGCGGCCUAUCAGCUUGUUGGUGGGGUAAUGGCCUACCAAGGCGUCGACGGGUAGCCGGCCUGAGAGGGUGUACGGCCGCAUUGGGACUGAGAUACGGCCCAGACUCCUACGGGAGGCAGCAGGGGGGAAUAUUGCACAAGGGGCGCAAGCCUGAUGCAGCGACGCCGCGUGGGGGAUGACGGCCUUCGGGUUGUAAACUCCUUUCGCUAGGGACGAAGCGUUUUGUGACGGUACCUGGAGAAGAAGCACCGGCUAACUACGUG